Molecule: small nuclear RNA, 158 nt
Filed under: Colobus angolensis palliatus
Lineage: Eukaryota; Metazoa; Chordata; Mammalia; Primates; Cercopithecidae
Description: U2 spliceosomal RNA (ENSCANG00000016337.1)
Rfam family: U2 spliceosomal RNA
About the family: U2 is a small nuclear RNA (snRNA) component of the spliceosome (involved in pre-mRNA splicing).
Source: RNAcentral
UUUGCUUCUUGGCCUUUUGGCUAAGAUCAAGUAUAGUCUCUGUUCUUAUCAGUUUAAUUUUUGUUUCUCAUUAUUAAAAUAUAAUCUAUAUGAGAAAUUUCUUUUUUUUUCUCUGCCAUAUAGGACCUAGAUUAGAACCUGGCAUUAGGUGAGUGCAU